AUCACUUCUCGGCCUUUUGGCUAAGAUCAAGUGUAGUUUCUUUUCUUAUCAGUUUAAUAUCUGAUAACAUCCUCUAUCUGAGGACAAUAUAUUAAAUGGAUUUUUGGAGUAGGAGUUGGAUUAGGAGCUUGCUCUGUCUACUCCAUGCAUCGACCUGGUAUUGCACCUCCAGGAAUUGUGCACCCCCU
Rattus norvegicus (Norway rat) is the source of this 188-nucleotide small nuclear RNA. Ensembl annotates it as U2 spliceosomal RNA. The record is from Ensembl. NCBI's taxonomy places the organism in Eukaryota, Metazoa, Chordata, Mammalia, Rodentia, Muridae.